UUGGAGGGCAAGUCUGGUGCCCGCAGCCGCGGUAAUUCCAGCUCCAAUAGCGUAUAUUAAAGUUGUUGCAGUUAAAAAGCUCGUAGUUGAAUUUCGGGAUCAGUACGUUGGUCGUGCCUUAGGUACGUACUGGUGUUACUGGUUCCUACCUUCUGACGAACCAUCAUGUCAUUUAUUUGGUGUGGCGGGGAAUCAGGACUGUUACUUUGAAAAAAUUAGAGUGUUUAAAGCAGGCUCGCGCUUGAAUACAUUAGCAUGGAAUAAUGAAAUAGGACGUUGAUCCUAUUUUGUUGGUUUCUAGGAUUGACGUAAUGAUUAAUAGGGAUAGUUGGGGGCAUUAGUAUUCAAUUGUCAGAGGUGAAAUUCUUGGAUUUAUUGAAGACUAACUACUGCGAAAGCAUUUGCCAAGGAUGUUUUCAUUAAUCAAGAACGAAAGUUAGGGGAUCGAAGACGAUCAGAUACCGUCGUAGUCUUAACCAUAAACUAUGCCGACUAGGGAUCGGAUGAUGUUAUUUUUAAUGACUCAUUCGGCGCCUUACGGGAAAC
Molecule: ribosomal RNA, 546 nt
Filed under: uncultured Glomeromycotina
Lineage: Eukaryota; Fungi; Glomeromycota
Description: SSU rRNA
Rfam family: Eukaryotic small subunit ribosomal RNA
Source: RNAcentral